RNAcentral lists this ribosomal RNA (696 nucleotides) under Lentzea albida. RNAcentral describes it as "bacterial SSU rRNA". It matches the Rfam family "Bacterial small subunit ribosomal RNA", at positions 202 to 915 of the family's 1533-position model. Lineage: Bacteria; Bacillati; Actinomycetota; Actinomycetes; Pseudonocardiales; Pseudonocardiaceae. The record is from RNAcentral.
AAGUUCCGGCGGUAUGGGAUGGACCCGCGGCCUAUCAGCUUGUUGGUGGGGUAAUGGCCUACCAAGGCGACGACGGGUAGCCGGCCUGAGAGGGUGACCGGCCACACUGGGACUGAGACACGGCCCAGACUCCUACGGGAGGCAGCAGUGGGGAAUAUUGCACAAUGGGCGAAAGCCUGAUGCAGCGACGCCGCGUGAGGGAUGACGGCCUUCGGGUUGUAAACCUCUUUCAGCAGGGACGAAGCGCAAGUGACGGUACCUGCAGAAGAAGCACCGGCUAACUACGUGCCAGCAGCCGCGGUAAUACGUAGGGUGCGAGCGUUGUCCGGAAUUAUUGGGCGUAAAGAGCUCGUAGGCGGUUUGUCGCGUCGGCCGUGAAAACUUGGGGCUUAACUCCAAGCUUGCGGUCGAUACGGGCAGACUUGAGUUCGGCAGGGGAGACUGGAAUUCCUGGUGUAGCGGUGAAAUGCGCAGAUAUCAGGAGGAACACCGGUGGCGAAGGCGGGUCUCUGGGCCGAUACUGACGCUGAGGAGCGAAAGCGUGGGGAGCGAACAGGAUUAGAUACCCUGGUAGUCCACGCCGUAAACGGUGGGUGCUAGGUGUGGGGGGCUUCCACGCCCUCUGUGCCGCAGCUAACGCAUUAAGCACCCCGCCUGGGGAGUACGGCCGCAAGGCUAAACUCAAAGGAAUUGACG